Molecule: ribosomal RNA, 1246 nt
Filed under: Clostridium sp. HMSC19E03
Lineage: Bacteria; Bacillati; Bacillota; Clostridia; Eubacteriales; Clostridiaceae
Description: bacterial LSU rRNA
Rfam family: Bacterial large subunit ribosomal RNA
Source: RNAcentral
UGCGGACAUAUCAUAACGAAGAGGUAUCGUAAUUGAAGAGGUUUGGAAAGACCCACCACAGAAGGUAAUAGUCCUGUAUGUUAAACGAGAAGACUUCAGAUAUGAUCCAGAGUACCACGGGACACGUGAAACCCUGUGGGAAGCAGGAGGGACCACCCUCCAAGGCUAAAUACUACCUAGUGACCGAUAGCGUAUAGUACCGUGAGGGAAAGGUGAAAAGAACCCCGGGAGGGGAGUGAAAUAGAACCUGAAACCCUGCACUUACAAGCUGUGGAAGCACAUUUCUUGUGUGACCGCGUACUUUUUGUAGAACGGGCCAACGAGUUACGUUAAGUAGCAAGGUUAAGCACUUAAGGUGCGGAGCCGUAGCGAAAGCGAGUUUUAACUGAGCGUUCAGUUACUUGACGUAGACCCGAAACCGGGCGACCUACCCAUGAGCAGGAUGAAGCGAAAGUAAAAUUUCGUGGAGGUCCGAACCCACGAGCGUUGAAAAGCUCGGGGAUGACUUGUGGGUAGCGGUGAAAUUCCAAUCGAGCCCGGAGAUAGCUGGUUCUCCCCGAAAUAGCUUUAGGGCUAGCCUCAAGGUGAGAGAUACGGAGGUAGAGCACUGAAUGUCCUAGGGGGUAUUGCACCUACCGAAGACUAUCAAACUCCGAAUGCCGUCAUCUUAUACUUGGGAGUCAGACUGUGGGUGAUAAGAUUCAUAGUCGAAAGGGCAACAGCCCAGAUCGUCAGCUAAGGUCCCUAAAUGUAAGUUAAGUGGUAAAGGAUGUGGGUUUGCACAGACAACCAGGAUGUUGGCUUAGAAGCAGCCACUCAUUCAAAGAGUGCGUAAUAGCUCACUGGUCGAGUGAUCCUGCGCCGAAGAUUUCCGGGGCUAAAACUUACUACCGAAGCUACGGCAUCAGUAAUGAUGGGUAGGGGAGCUUCCCAUACGGGUUGAAGCAUGACCGUAAGGACAUGUGGACAGUAUGGGAGUGAGAAUGUUGGCAUGAGUAGCGAGAUGUGGGUGAGAAUCCCACAGGCCGUAAACCCAAGGUUUCCAGGGGAAGGUUCGUCCGCCCUGGGUUAGUCGGGACCUAAGCUGAGGCCGAAAGGCGUAGGUGAUGGACAACAGGUUGAUAUUCCUGUACUACCGAUAACCGUUUGAGAGAAGGGAUGACACAGUAGGAUAAGCUAAGCACACUGUUGGUUAUGUGUGCCCAAGCAUUGAGGCAGUCAAAGUAGGCAAAUCCGCUUUGAUAAU